This 591-nucleotide ribosomal RNA is filed under the name uncultured bacterium. RNAcentral describes it as "bacterial SSU rRNA". It matches the Rfam family "Bacterial small subunit ribosomal RNA", at positions 338 to 946 of the family's 1533-position model. The record is from RNAcentral.
CCUACGGGAGGCAGCAGUGGGGAAUAUUGGACAAUGGGCGAAAGCCUGAUCCAGCAAUGCCGCGUGAGUGAUGAAGGCCUUAGGGUUGUAAAGCUCUUUUACCAGGGAUGAUAAUGACAGUACCUGGAGAAUAAGCUCCGGCUAACUCCGUGCCAGCAGCCGCGGUAAUACGGAGGGAGCUAGCGUUAUUCGGAAUUACUGGGCGUAAAGCGUACGUAGGCGGUUAUUCAAGUCAGAGGUGAAAGCCCGGGGCUCAACCCCGGAACUGCCUUUGAAACUAGAUAACUAGAGUCUUGGAGAGGUUAGUGGAAUUCCGAGUGUAGAGGUGAAAUUCGUAGAUAUUCGGAAGAACACCAGUGGCGAAGGCGACUAACUGGACAAGUACUGACGCUGAGGUACGAAAGCGUGGGGAGCAAACAGGAUUAGAUACCCUGGUAGUCCACGCCGUAAACGAUGAUAACUAGCUGUCCGGGCACUUGGUGCCUGGGUGGCGCAGCUAACGCAUUAAGUUAUCCGCCUGGGGAGUACGGUCGCAAGAUUAAAACUUAAAGAUAUAGACGNGNGAGNGCGACGACGACGACGAGAGGAGAG